UACAGAGGUCUCAAGCGUUGUUCGGAUUCAUUGGGCGUAAAGGGUGCGUGGGCGGCGCGGUAAGUCGGGUGUGAAAUCUUGGAGCUUAACUCCGAAACUGCAUUCGAUACUGCCGUGCUUGAGGACUGGAGAGGAGACUGGAAUUUACGGUGUAGCGGUGAAAUGCGUAGAUAUCGUAAGGAAGACCAGUGGCGAAGGCGGGUCUCUGGACAGUUCCUGACGCUGAGGCACGAAGGCCAGGGGAGCAAACGGG
RNAcentral lists this ribosomal RNA (253 nucleotides) under uncultured bacterium. Its description in RNAcentral is "partial 16S ribosomal RNA". It matches the Rfam family "Bacterial small subunit ribosomal RNA", at positions 524 to 776 of the family's 1533-position model. The record is from RNAcentral.